This is a long non-coding RNA of Eublepharis macularius, 442 nucleotides long. RefSeq lists it as uncharacterized. The transcript is spliced from 3 exons. Lineage: Eukaryota; Metazoa; Chordata; Lepidosauria; Squamata; Eublepharidae. The record is from RefSeq and is a predicted model, not a curated record.
UUCCUUAAUGGGACUCAGUAGCGGUUAAGGGCAGGAUUAUUCGAGGAAGGUGGAUGUCAGUGGUUUAGACUGGAUUUACUUUGUUUAAGAUUGCACCGCGAUUUUUUGCAACACUUCCAGAAAGCCCUUCGCAACACUGGAUGAUAAAGUUAAACUGCGUUUCGGGGUGGUCGAACCGUUCAGGCUCACAGAGGGAGGGCUGCCUAGAGUGCAUUGCUGGGCUUUUUAUGGGCUGUAAUUCUCCAAGAAAAGGACAAAAACUUGGAUUCCAGUUGCUUCAGAAUUGGAAGGUGGAAAUGGCUUAUAUGAAGUCGCCAAGGACCCACAGACCCAACAAGGGACUGGUUAUCAAGAUACUUGUUUCCAAAGGCUUAGCUUCAUCGGGGUUCUAUAGACCUUGCCACCAUGCAUCAGUAAUAAGAUUUUAAUUCUAAUAAACUUU